RNAcentral lists this long non-coding RNA (2900 nucleotides) under Coffea arabica (coffee). RNAcentral describes it as "long non-coding RNA (CARA_LNC005348)". Lineage: Eukaryota; Viridiplantae; Streptophyta; Magnoliopsida; Gentianales; Rubiaceae. The record is from RNAcentral.
AGCUAAUAUAGUAGACCAUAAUCAGCUGCCCUUGAUUAGUGCAAUUAGUAGACCAUAAUCAGCUACCCUUGACUUUUGUAAUUAGUAGACUAGAUCCCAUAAUCAGCUGUCCUUGACUUUUGCAUUUAGUAGACCAUAAUCAGCUGACCUUGACUUUUGUAAUUAGUAGACUAGAUCUCGUUGCCCUUGAUAUCCCCCCUCAAAUUGAUGCUGGUCGAUCAAAAAGCAUUAAUUUGUCAACCAGAAAAUUGUGUCUAUGACGAGAGAGAGCUUUCGUAAGUAUAUCAGCAGUUUGAAGAUCAGUGGUGAUAUGAGGAAGAGAGAUAACAUGAUCAUCAUAUGCUUCGCGGAUAGAGUGACAAUCAACUUCAAUAUGUUUUGUACGCUCGUGAAAUACAGGAUUAGCACGAUUAGUAGCUCUUGGUAAUCGGCAAGAGUAUGGAGUAGAUUAUGAGGAGACCUUUGCUCUUGUGGCAAAGAUGACAACAGUUCGACUUGUUCUAGCUAUUGCUGCUUCUACGGGCUGGUCAUUGCGACAGAUGGAUGUUAAGAAUGCCUUUUUACAUGGCAAUCUUCAAGAAGAGAUUUAUAUGACUCCACCAUUAAAGUUAUUUUCUACAUCUUCAUCUGAUGUUUGUAAGCUAAAACGCUCACUCUAUGGCUUAAAACAAGCUCCACGGGCUUGGUUUGAUAAGUUCCGUUCUACGCUUAUUAGCUUCUCAUUUGUUCAGAGUCAGUAUGACUCCUCUUUGUUUCUUCGCAAGACUGAUAAGGGACUUGUUUUACUUCUGGUAUAUGUUGAUGAUAUUGUUGUCACAGGAAAUGACUCUGAAUUAAUAUCUCAACUUCAGGAGCAUCUUCAACGUUCUUUUCAUAUGAAGGAUUUAGGUCCUCUACAGUAUUUUUUGGGUCUAGAAGUGCACUCUACCUCAGCUGGUAUUUUCUUACAUUAGCAUAAACACAUCCAGGAAUUAAUUGCUUUGGCAGGUCUCCAAGAUGGUCGGUCUGUUGAUACCACAUUGGAAGUAAAUGUUAAAUAUCGCCGUGAUGAGGGUGAUUUUCUCUCAGAUCCCUCUCUCUAUCGGCAAUUGGUGGGAAGUCUCAACUAUUUAACUAUUACUCAGCCUGAUAUUUCAUUUGCUGUUCAACAAGUUAGUUAAUUUAUAGAGGCGCCUAGGCACCUCCAUCUAGCUGCUGUUCGUCACAUUAUUCGUUUUUUACUAGGCACUUCCUCUCGUGGUCUUUUCUUCUCCAGAAAUUCUCCUCUUCAUUUGGUAGCCUAUAGCGACGCUGACUGGGCGGAUUGUUCGGAUACUAGACGUUCAGUUACCGGUUGGUGCAUGUUUCUUGAAAAUUCUCUUAUUUCUUGGAAAAGCAAAAAGCAAGAUAGGGUGUCUAAGUCCUCUACUGAGUCAGGGUAUCGUGUUAUGUCCUCUGCAUGUUUUGAGAUCAUUUGGCUUCGAGAUAGUCUACUAAUUACAAAAGUCAAGGUCAACUGAUCAUGGUCUACUAAAUGCAAAAGUCAAGGACAGCUGAUUAUGCGAUCUGGUCUACUAAAUGCAAAAGUCAAGAACAGUUGAUUAUGGGAUCUAGUCUACUAAUUACAAAAGUCAAGGGCAGCUGAUUAUGGUCUACUAAUUGCACUAAUCAAGGGCAGCUGAUUUUGGUCUAUUAUAUUAGCUAUAUAUUAGCAUAUCUGUAAUUAAUAUAUUAGAUAAGUAGAUAUAUUCUGAUCAGAAGAGAAGGUACUGAGUUUUCUAUAGACAUUCUUUCAAAAAAAAAAAAACAAAGAUCUGAAUUACAAGAAAGGCUGCCAACCACAAUAUGAUUGACCCAAAAGGAUAUCUUGAAACCAAAUGAUUGAUCAAAAUAAUCAACCCAAGAAGAAUAACAACUCAGAAAGUUUGGAAAGGCGGAGAAAUUCAAAUAACUAGCUCUGAUACCGUGACAAGUUUUCUAGAUCCAAGACUGAAUGCUGUCUUUUGUGCAUCUUUUCCAUUUAAGUAGAAAAACUCUGUACCUUCUCUUCUGGUUAGAAUAUAUCUGCCUAUCUAAUAUAUUAAUUACAAAUAUGCUAAUAUACAACUAAUAUAGUAGACCAUAAUCAGCUGCCCUUAAUUAGUGCAAUUAGUAGAUCAUAAUCAGCUGCCCUUGACUUUGGUAAGACUAGAUCCCAUAAUUAGCUGUCCUUGACUUUGCAUUUAGUAGACCAGAUCCCAUAAUCAGCUGUCCUUGACUUUUGCAUUUAGUGGACCACAAUCAGCUGACCUUGACUUUUGUAAUUAGUAGACUAGAUCCCAUUGCCCUUGAUAAUUAAAUGCAUAACAUAGCUAAAUUCAACUAAGUUGCAAAGAAAAAAAACAUAUAAUGACUAUUUGUAUAAUUUUUCCUGUCACUUGAAUAUUAGCUCAUCACUAUGAUUAGCUGAUUUACAGAAUGAGAUAGUUUUGUAUAGAAGUUGGAGAGAAAUUUUCCAUUUGUGUGUAAAGAAGGAAGAGAUUUGUACGACAAAAGGAAUCAGGGAUCAAAACAGGCUAGCAGUGAGCAGAUUCCGUCUGUAACAUUUUUAUUUCUAAUUCUAGCAAAGGCUCAAGGCUCAUGAUAAAUGCAUUUGGAGUAGUAGUAUAGAGGUAAAGAUAUAGCAUACCUUAAUUAUGUAAGGAUGUUGUUUUCUUCUUGAUCUCAAUCCAAAUAUCCAUUCUUGAUUUCAUUAGUUUCUUUUGUGCCGGAUUCCCCUACUUGAAGGAAUCAGCGUGCUUGAUUCUACAUGGAUUAUUUGAAACAAUAUGUUCUUACUUUAAAAUUUUUAUGUAUAGUACUUACCGCUUUCUUAAAUUUUUUGUACUUUAUCAAACAAAUUAGGUCCAAAAUAACUUUAGCAACCAUGUUGAACUUAGGUA